UGGGGUGUGGCUCAGUUGGUAGAGUGCUUACUUAGGAUGCAGGAAGUGUGGGUUAGAUUCCCAACACCACAU
This 72-nucleotide transfer RNA is filed under the name Neotoma lepida (desert woodrat). It matches the Rfam family "tRNA". From Rfam's summary of the family: Transfer RNA (tRNA) molecules are approximately 80 nucleotides in length. Their secondary structure includes four short double-helical elements and three loops (D, anti-codon, and T loops). Further hydrogen bonds mediate the characteristic L-shaped molecular structure. tRNAs have two regions of fundamental functional importance: the anti-codon, which is responsible for specific mRNA codon recognition, and the 3' end, to which the tRNAs corresponding amino acid is attached (by aminoacyl-tRNA synthetases). tRNAs cope with the degeneracy of the genetic code in two manners: having more than one tRNA (with a specific anti-codon) for a particular amino acid; and 'wobble' base-pairing, i.e. permitting non-standard base-pairing at the 3rd anti-codon position. Lineage: Eukaryota; Metazoa; Chordata; Mammalia; Rodentia; Cricetidae. The record is from Rfam by way of RNAcentral.